RNAcentral lists this ribosomal RNA (1344 nucleotides) under metagenome. RNAcentral describes it as "bacterial LSU rRNA". It matches the Rfam family "Bacterial large subunit ribosomal RNA", at positions 1564 to 2912 of the family's 2925-position model. The record is from RNAcentral.
UGAGUGCGAGCUGCUACGGCAGCGAAGUUGGUGAUGUCAUGCUUCCAAGAAAAGCCCUAUACCCGUUAAGGCAUCAUGGCCUGUACCCGAAACCGACGCAGGUGGGGUGGUAGAGAAUACCGAGGGGCGCGAGGUAACUCUCUCUAAGGAACUCGGCAAAAUGGCCCCGUAACUUCGGGAGAAGGGGUGCCACCGCAAGGUGGUCGCAGUGAAGAGGCCCAGGCGACUGUUUACCAAAAACACAGGUCUCCGCUAAGUCGCAAGACGAUGUAUGGGGGCUGACGCCUGCCCAGUGCCGGAAGGUUAAGGAAGCUGGUCAGCGCAAGCGAAGCUAGCGACUGAAGCCCCGGUGAACGGCGGCCGUAACAAUAACGGUCCUAAGGUAGCGAAAUUCCUUGUCGGGUAAGUUCCGACCCGCACGAAAGGCGUAACGAUCUGGGCGCUGUCUCGGAGAGAGGCUCGGCGAAAUAGAAUUGUCUGUGAAGAUGCGGACUACGUGCACCCGGACAGAAAGACCCUAUGAAGCUUUACUGUAGCUUGGUAUUGUGCCCGGGCUCGCAAUGCGCAGGAUAGGUGGGAGGCUUUGAUCAUCGGCUUGCGGGUCGAUGUGAGCCAACGGUGAGAUACCACUCUUUGCGAGCUAGGGUUCUAACGGCCACCCGUCAUCCGGGGGCCGGACAGUACCUGGUGGGCAGUUUGACUGGGGCGGUCGCCUCCUAAAAGGUAACGGAGGCGCGCAAAGGUUUGCUCAGGCUGGUUGGAAAUCAGCCGACGAGUGUAAAAGCAGAAGCAAGCUUGACUGUGAGACCAACAAGUCGAACAGGGAGGAAACUCGGCUUUAGUGAUCCGACGGUUCUGAGUGGAAGGGCCGUCGCUCAACGGAUAAAAGUUACUCUAAGGAUAACAGGCUGAUCUCCCCCAAGAGUUCACAUCGACGGGGAGGUUUGGCACCUCGAUGUCGGCUCAUCGCAACCUGGGGCUGAAGUCGGUCCCAAGGGUUGGGCUGUUCGCCCAUUAAAGCGGUACGCGAGCUGGGUUCAGAACGUCGUGAGACAGUUCGGUCCAUAUCCGGUGCACGCGCAGGAAUAUUGAGAGGAUUUCUCCCUAGUACGAGAGGACCGGGAGGAACGCACCUCUGGUGUACCAGUUAUCGUGCCAACGGUAAACGCUGGGUAGCCAUGUGCGGAGUGGAUAACCGCUGAAAGCAUCUAAGUGGGAAGCCCACCUCAAGAUGAGUAUUCCCAUGGCGUAAGCCAGUAAGGUCACGGGAAGAACACCCGUUGAUAGGCUCUAUGUGGAAGCGCAGUAAUGCGUGAAGCAGAGGAGUACUAAUAGACCGAGGGC